UCCGAGUUAACCCCGGCAGUCCCCCACGAGUCCCCACCAUCACGUGCUGGCAACAUAGGGCAAGGGUUGCGCUCGUUGCGGGACUUAACCCAACAUCUCACGACACGAGCUGACGACAACCAUGCACCACCUGCACACGACCAACUAAAUGCCACCACAUCUCUGCAGUGCCGCCGUGCAUGUCAAGCCUUGGUAAGGUUCUUCGCGUUGCAUCGAAUUAAUCCGCAUGCUCCGCCGCUUGUGCGGGCCCCCGUCAAUUCCUUUGAGUUUUAGCCUUGCGGCCGUACUCCCCAGGCGGGGCACUUAAAGCGUUAGCUACGGCGCAGAAACCACGGGUGGCCCCCACACCUAGUGCCCAACGUUUACAGCGUGGACUAC
This 378-nucleotide unclassified non-coding RNA is filed under the name uncultured Actinomycetaceae bacterium. RNAcentral's name for it is "contains 16S-23S intergenic spacer region". Lineage: Bacteria; Bacillati; Actinomycetota; Actinomycetes; Actinomycetales; Actinomycetaceae. The record is from RNAcentral.